This 427-nucleotide ribosomal RNA is filed under the name uncultured bacterium. Its description in RNAcentral is "bacterial SSU rRNA". It matches the Rfam family "Bacterial small subunit ribosomal RNA", at positions 352 to 782 of the family's 1533-position model. The record is from RNAcentral.
CAGUCGAGAAUCUUCGGCAAUGGGCGCAAGCCUGACCGAGCGACGUCGCGUGGAGGACGAAGGCCUUCGGGUUGUAAACUCCUGUCGAGGGGGAGAAAGGUCUCGCAAGAGGCUUGAUCGAUCCCUGGAGGAAGCACGGGCUAAGUUCGUGCCAGCAGCCGCGGUAAGACGAACCGUGCGAACGUUAUUCGGAAUCACUGGGCUUAAAGCGCGUGUAGGCGGAUUGGAACGUCGGCGCCUGAAAUCCCCCGGCUCAACCGGGGAACGCGGCCCGAAACGACCAGUCUGGAGGGACGUAGGGGGGACUGGAACUUCCGGUGGAGCGGUGAAAUGCGUUGAGAUCGGAAGGAACGCCCGUGGCGAAAGCGAGUCCCUGGACGUCUACUGACGCUGAGACGCGAAAGCUAGGGGAGCGAACGGGAUUAGA